AAUCCAUAGGUUAAUGAGGCGAACCGGGGGAACUGAAACAUCUAAGUACCCCGAGGAAAAGAAAUCAACCGAGAUUCCCCCAGUAGCGGCGAGCGAACGGGGAGGAGCCCAGAGCCUGAAUCAGCAUGUGUGUUAGUGGAAGCGUCUGGAAAGGCGCGCGAUACAGGGUGACAGCCCCGUACACAAAAGCGCAUGUGCUGUGAGCUCGAUGAGUAGGGCGGGACACGUGGUAUCCUGUCUGAAUAUGGGGGGACCAUCCUCCAAGGCUAAAUACUCCUGACUGACCGAUAGUGAACCAGUACCGUGAGGGAAAGGCGAAAAGAACCCCGGCGAGGGGAGUGAAAAAGAACCUGAAACCGUGUACGUACAAGCAGUGGGAGCACCCUUUGGGUGUGACUGCGUACCUUUUGUAUAAUGGGUCAGCGACUUAUAUUCUGUAGCAAGGUUAACCGAAUAGGGGAGCCGGAGGGAAACCGAGUCUUAAUUGGGCGUUAAGUUGCAGGGUAUAGACCCGAAACCCGGUGAUCUAGCCAUGGGCAGGUUGAAGGUUGGGUAACACUAACUGGAGGACCGAACCGACUAAUGUUGAAAAAUUAGCGGAUGACCUGUGGCUGGGGGUGAAAGGCCAAUCAAACCGGGAGAUAGCUGGUUCUCCCCGAAAGCUAUUUAGGUAGCGCCUCGUGAAUUCAUCUCCGGGGGUAGAGCACUGUUUCGGCUAGGGGGCCAUCCCGGCUUACCAACCCGAUGCAAACUGCGAAUACCGGAGAAUGUUAUCACGGGAGACACACGGCGGGUGCUAACGUCCGUCGUGAAGAGGGAAACAACCCAGACCGCCAGCUAAGGUCCCAAAGUCAUGGUUAAGUGGGAAACGAUGUGGGAAGGCCCAGACAGCCAGGAUGUUGGCUUAGAAGCAGCCAUCAUUUAAAGAAAGCGUAAUAGCUCACUGGUCGAGUCGGCCUGCGCGGAAGAUGUAACGGGGCUAAACCAUGCACCGAAGCUGCGGCAGCGACACUGUGUGUUGUUGGGUAGGGGAGCGUUCUGUAAGCCUGUGAAGGUGUGUCGUGAGGCAUGCUGGAGGUAUCAGAAGUGCGAAUGCUGACAUAAGUAACGAUAAAGCGGGUGAAAAGCCCGCUCGCCGGAAGACCAAGGGUUCCUGUCCAACGUUAAUCGGGGCAGGGUGAGUCGACCCCUAAGGCGAGGCCGAAAGGCGUAGUCGAUGGGAAACGGGUUAAUAUUCCCGUACUUGGUGUUACUGCGAAGGGGGGACGGAGAAGGCUAUGUUGGCCGGGCGACGGUUGUCCCGGUUUAAGCGUGUAGGUGUGUGUUCCAGGUAAAUCCGGUUCACUUUAACACUGAGGCGUGACGACGAGGCACUACGGUGCUGAAGCAACAAAUGCCCUGCUUCCAGGAAAAGCCUCUAAGCAUCAGGUAACAUCAAAUCGUACCCCAAACCGACACAGGUGGUCAGGUAGAGAAUACCAAGGCGCUUGAGAGAACUCGGGUGAAGGAACUAGGCAAAAUGGUGCCGUAACUUCGGGAGAAGGCACGCUGACACGUAGGUGAAGUGAUUUACUCAUGGAGCUGAAGUCAGUCGAAGAUACCAGCUGGCUGCAACUGUUUAUUAAAAACACAGCACUGUGCAAACACGAAAGUGGACGUAUACGGUGUGACGCCUGCCCGGUGCCGGAAGGUUAAUUGAUGGGGUCAGCGCAAGCGAAGCUCCUGAUCGAAGCCCCGGUAAACGGCGGCCGUAACUAUAACGGUCCUAAGGUAGCGAAAUUCCUUGUCGGGUAAGUUCCGACCUGCACGAAUGGCGUAAUGAUGGCCAGGCUGUCUCCACCCGAGACUCAGUGAAAUUGAACUCGCUGUGAAGAUGCAGUGUACCCGCGGCAAGACGGAAAGACCCCGUGAACCUUUACUAUAGCUUGACACUGAACAUUGAGCCUUGAUGUGUAGGAUAGGUGGGAGGCUUUGAAGUGUGGACGCCAGUCUGCAUGGAGCCGACCUUGAAAUACCACCCUUUAAUGUUUGAUGUUCUAACGUGGACCCGUUACCCGGGUUGCGGACAGUGUCUGGUGGGUAGUUUGACUGGGGCGGUCUCCUCCUAAAGAGUAACGGAGGAGCACGAAGGUUGGCUAAUCCUGGUCGGACAUCAGGAGGUUAGUGCAAUGGCAUAAGCCAGCUUGACUGCGAGCGUGACGGCGCGAGCAGGUGCGAAAGCAGGUCAUAGUGAUCCGGUGGUUCUGAAUGGAAGGGCCAUCGCUCAACGGAUAAAAGGUACUCCGGGGAUAACAGGCUGAUACCGCCCAAGAGUUCAUAUCGACGGCGGUGUUUGGCACCUCGAUGUCGGCUCAUCACAUCCUGGGGCUGAAGUAGGUCCCAAGGGUAUGGCUGUUCGCCAUUUAAAGUGGUACGCGAGCUGGGUUUAGAACGUCGUGAGACAGUUCGGUCCCUAUCUGCCGUGGGCGCUGGAGAACUGAGGGGGGCUGCUCCUAGUACGAGAGGACCGGAGUGGACGCAUCACUGGUGUUCGGGUUGUCAUGCCAAUGGCACUGCCCGGUAGCUAAAUGCGGAAGAGAUAAGUGCUGAAAGCAUCUAAGCACGAAACUUGCCCCGAGAUGAGUUCUCC
This 2629-nucleotide ribosomal RNA is filed under the name Salmonella enterica subsp. enterica serovar Enteritidis. Its description in RNAcentral is "partial 23S ribosomal RNA". It matches the Rfam family "Bacterial large subunit ribosomal RNA". Lineage: Bacteria; Pseudomonadati; Pseudomonadota; Gammaproteobacteria; Enterobacterales; Enterobacteriaceae. The record is from RNAcentral.